GAUUUUAAUGGAGGUGAUCUUUAGACAAAGCCUUGAAAAUGGUCAAUUCUGAGGCACAUCCCCAGGGAAGCAGCUCACUGCAUUCACCUGGGGGUUCCGAGCCCUCCCACCCUCUACCACUGCUCACUCCCAAUGCCUGGUGUCUCCCUAGAGAAAUAAAGUUCUAUCAAUCAAACACCUCAACUCUGAACUCAGUUACAUAACACCAAAUUGCAAAGCUUAUAGUAGCCACCUGUUCACAUAGCAAUGGAUGGUUAAGUAGCGUGUUUUCCAAACCCUUGGAUUCACCAUCAGAAAAUCGAGACCCCGUAAGAAAACGGCAGGUUUCCAGCUUUCCAAGGGAUAUCAUCUCCACCUGAAACCAGCGAUGUAUGCUCAGAGCCUUUGGCUCAGGUCUCCCAAGCACGUCAUUAUUAUCCUCAUGGAUUUGGGAAAUUACAUGUUCUCUAAUAAUAACCCAUGAAAGGAAUGCACAAAUAGAAAUAGAGAGAAGUGACUUGCCACAGCCCUUUUAAGCAGUUAGUGACUGUGUAAGCUCAGCUGUUAUUAGCUGAUAGAAUUAGAUUUAGUCUACUGGGCCUCACUGAAUAAAAAUGAGAGAAUUUCCCAUUAAAAUGUAUGUUCCAGGCUCUUGAAAAAGUCAGAAGGUCUGACAAUGCUGGGCCCACAUUUCUGUGUGGCAACCGUCCAGAGCGGAGCAGUGAUGGCUGUGUUUGAAAGCGGCACAAAUUCUCCAGGUCGCAGUAGUUCCUAUCACGCCCACUUUCCUUGUUUCCCAUACUGGCCUUGUCCAUGGAAGCAUGUGAGUUUGCAACCUUCACUAAGCUUUACGUCCGUCCCUGCUUCUCCUUCCCUCUUCCUUCCCAGCUCCUCUCAGCAUAAAAUCCUUGGAAACUCUCCUUUCUGUUGCAAACUGGCCUAAACCAAUCUCAUGCUUCACAAUUAUUGGAUUCUUUUUGGUAUCAACAACUAGAGUCAGAGGUAGGUGAAGUCUGUAACAGAAUGUGCAUGAGUCGCCUGGGAUCCCAUUAAAAUACUGACUUUGAUUCAGUAGGUCUGGCGUGGGCCCGAUUCUGUAUUUCUAACAAACUCCUAGGUGAUAACUACGCUGCUGGUGGCAUCCACCACUGUGAGUGGCAAACAUGUAAGUUUCUGCCCCCAAAACUUGGCUCCCAGGUUCUAUCAGAAACAGGCCUCAAACCAAAGUCUGCAAAGGAACAAAAGAGGCGUACAACCUGCUCUAUAAACUGGAUGAACUCCCCAAACUUUGCCCUCUUAGUUGUUCUGACCGUGCCCUUGCAUACGCCAAAGUGACGGUGUUCUGGAAGCGGAGAUUCUGUUCAUUUUAGAGGAUGAAUCAGGCUAUCGCAGGAUCCACCGCCAGAUAAAGGGCAGUUUCAGAGUCAAGCUUCAGGCACCACUGUGAAGAGUACAGACUGCUGAGUUCCCUGGACUGCGGUGCUCUGUGCAAUUACAAGAGGGGUUUUUAUAAUAUGAGAUUUCUAGCAUCCACAUAUUUUGAACACCAGUAAUCUCAAUGGUAACCUAUUAUAACAACAUGCUAAUAUCUGACGCUCUGCCGCCCACUGGCGAUAAAGAAAGCUGAGCAUUUACGGCAACCAUCCCUGCAGGGAACCAGCCCUGCAAAGUGUAUCCCAAUUAGGGCAAUUAGCAGCACCUAUUUUUAUCAUACUGUCUUUGGUAAUAUAUCUUAAAUUACAGACUACAUAGCACACUCUUAGUAAGAAGUAGGUGCUCCAAACUGGAUUCUUCCCGUAAUCUAAAGUAGGAGGAAUUAAUUUUGCAUUUGCGAGAGACCACUGUGUGGCGGGUAGGGGAGAACGACCCCUUCCAGCGAGACGCGGACCCUUCCUCUGCCUCUUCCUAAGCAAGCCCUGGGGGUUCCCUCAGCCAAAGCCCUGGUACCCUCCACACACUCAUUUUUCCAAUUUACUUCUCUCUGGGCCUUUUUGCCGCCAUGUGUUCAGCACAAGGUACUCUCAUGUCACCUCAUGAAAAACAGAAACAGAAAAUAAGAGGCAGAAGCAGUCCUAGAGAUGGCCGACGCCGGUGGGUUUUCAAUCUUAGCCUUGAAAAGCCUUUCGCAGACCUAACAUUGCCCUGCAGUGCAAACAAACAGUUCAUGCAAGAAAAAGCUGUUCUCCACGGUGGCGGCGGGGCAGGGGAUGAAUGUGGAUGUAAGGAAAACUGAAACACAACCUUUUCCCACUCUCCCUGUCCCGAGACCUUUGUCCUUGAAGCGCUUCCAAAGGACACCGUUUAAUAACACUAACCUGAUCUGAAGGCACUCUUCCAUCGCCCGUUUUGCAGAUUAGGAGGCUGAGCUGUUGAAGGGGUAAGCAAUUUGUCCAAGCUCACAUGGUGAGAUGGGGCAGAACCUUACCUCUCCUUCGGCCGCAGGUCAGGUUCCAGGACCAGGAUGUAAGCAAGCGAGAAGACGCACACUCCGGUCGGGAGACGGAUGAAGCACCCUGGCGCUCAGUGGGAUGGUGUCCAUCUCCCCAGUUCCAGAAGAAAACGUCUCUCUCUGCAGUACCUGGCGUCACCUGAAAACCAAAAUAAGGAUUCUUCACUCUCACCGAUGCCAUCCAGCACUGUAAAAUGUACUGCCAGCAAGACAUACUGUAGCUCGUCAUGGCCAAGAUGACACGGCUGCUGCCCAAAGAUGGAGCGUUUUCUGACUUUCCUCCUCGUACCAGUUCUGCAGCUCCUGAUAUUAAGAGCUGCCAUCUUUUUCCAGCGGGAUUCUUCCCAUUCAUCCUUGACAAAAGAAGACUUUUGCUGAAUGCACUGUGGUUCUCACAAGCUAAGUGACUGCCUGGGGAAUCGCAGCUGAAGGUCAGGAGCCAGUUCCCACUUUCUACCUCCCAACACGCCUGGGCCAAUCUCCGUCACUCGGGGCUUCUCCCUUGGGCUCCCUGUGCACUGAACAGGAUACUGGCAAUUCAGACCAGUCCAGAAUGGAUACAAAAGCAAUAUAUAUUAGCGUCUCAUUGCAACCACAGUGCCAACGUAAGGAUUUAAUUUACUCUCUUAAGUUUGGAAUCUCAUGUAAGCGCUUGAGCAGUACUUGGGACACAGAGCUACAACUUUUUCGCAUCUCUCUCUCUGCUUCGAUUCUGCUUUGCACCACAGUUGCCUACGUUAUAGUUGAGUUUGGGAGCAGGCGUUGGAGUCUGAGAGUACUGUGUGCAAAUUUCAAUUCUGACAAUACUAUUUGCAUUCCACAGAAACUACUAUGAAUCCCUCUCAGGAGGGGGAUAAAUCAACAUUUAUUGACCAGUUACCUGGUUCUGGGUCAAGCACCUUUGAAUCCUCACAAUUCUAAGAGUUAUCAAAGUGGGAGACAAAGAAUGGACAUGGUCCAGGGUUGAAAUUGAGAAGAACUUUCAACUGGACACCAAGAGUUGAGACAGAAUCUCCUGGAAGCCAGGAGCUGGGGAAGAAAGAUGGGGAGGGACCUUGUCAUCUGCUCAAAUGGCCAAAAUCAGGUCACCUUCUCCUUUUGCUAUGGGAAAGGAAUCAGAUGGGAGGAAAGGAGUAGUAACUGCCAUGUUAUCCUCAGUAAGUACCAGCUCACAGUUCCCUAUAGCCUGGGCACCACAGUUACAUUCUCUACCUCUCUGUACCUCCAUUUAUUCCACCUUAAAUGGACAUCAUAAAGAGUAUGUAACUUCUGGUUUGUGGCAAGGAUUACCCGUGUUAAUGUAUGCAAAGCCAUUCAAUAAACAUUUACUAUCAUUAUCAUUACUUCCUAAACUGGAGUAGAUAAUGAGGUUGCCCCAUGCAGUUCUAGCCUUAUGAUGAAGACAGAAAGUGUCAUUUAGAUAGUGAGACACUGGGGACAAGGGAGAGCUCUCCUCCAAAAUAUCAGCUUUGCUGGAUGGCAGCAGGAGUCAUUCAAGAUUAACCUGGCUAGAGAGCAUAUCCCAAUCCCCUGAACAAAGCAACGGACUCAGGGAUACACACUCCAUCUAAGUUCCUCCAGUGAGGUGCCAACCAGCAAGGUCAGAGGCUCCACCUGUCCUACCCACUGCUGCAUCUCCUACCACUCAUUUGAGGAAUGUUAAAUGAAUCUUGGGACUGAGGAAGAAAGAAGCACUCCCUUUCCAUUGGGGUUGCUAAACUGCAAUAUAAGUAUUGAGCUACUGGUGGCCAUCUUCUUCCCAUGAAGGGAGAACCUGCUUGAAAAUAAAUCCAAACCAGAGGACAAAAGAGCCAUAUGAAAACGCUGUUGCAGCCAUAU
Globicephala melas (long-finned pilot whale) is the source of this 4267-nucleotide long non-coding RNA. RefSeq lists it as uncharacterized. NCBI's taxonomy places the organism in Eukaryota, Metazoa, Chordata, Mammalia, Artiodactyla, Delphinidae. The record is from RefSeq and is a predicted model, not a curated record.